AGAGCAGCAAGCUGUGACUCAGAACACACUGAAGGGCAAUUCUUUGUUUCCUGAUUGCUCCUUACGCACUGCACUCGCUGUCACAGCAGCCCAAGCACAGCUACACACAGAGCUCUGCUGCAGAGGGCAGCUACAGCCCGGGAACCCACACAGACAGACAGGAGAGGAAACUGAAGUAGGAAUACAAUCCAAAUGAAUUCUGGACAGGCACUACCUGAAUCAAACCUGAAUCAUUACCUGGCUAGCAAACAAUCCCAACUAGGAUGCCAGGUCGGUUUCUAUGAAGAACAAUAAAUAACAACUCUCUGCUCUUAGGACUUUACUUUCACAUAUUAGGGAAUCACCAGCUGUGACAUAUUUACUGAAGCAAAUAUUACAAAAGCACCAAGAUAACAAAAUACCAUUUUGUCCCUUUUAAUAUCCCAGGUUUAUAUUACUGCAAUUAUUUCUAACAAAAUUAUUUUUUGUGCAUGCCAUUAACUCAAUGACAGAGCAGCAAGCAUCAAAGUUUUCCCUCUUCCUGCCUUCUGGACAAGUCAGCCCUCCAAAGUCCCUUAGACUUCUCUUGCCACAUUUAAGAUUGUUGUUAGCCAAAUCCUAGAAGACAGCAGAGUACAUCCUCAAACACCAAUCACCUAUAGAAAAGCUCUCAAGCAGAUCAAUCACAAAUUCACGAGGAAGAUAUUUGUGUAGCACUGUAUAGAUUAACCUAGUUCUAUUUUAGGUUACUCCAGUCACUCCUGGCUGCGACAACAAAGCGCCUUCUCUGCAAUCACGUUUCUAACCCGUCAAAAAAGAAAAAAAAAUUAAAUGAAGCCGACUUUUGAAACAUAUUCCUCCCACUCCCCUGCUCCAAAAGGCUGCAGAGCAAACCAGAACCUUGGCACCUCGCGCCCGGACGGAGCCACACUGCAGCCAGCCCAGCAGCGGUGGGGUGGCAGGGGCCGCAGCUCUGCUGGCUGCCUCCCAGCAGCUCCCCAGGCACCUGGAAACACCGCCCGAUCCUCAGCGUGGGAAGAUCGGAGACGCAAGAUUAGCGGAGGAACUACAACCAGACAACAGCGUCUGCCCCGGCUGCUGCCGUGCUCAAACACACGCUCUGCCCGCCACAGCGCGUGGAUCUGGAGGAACGCCCCAAGCCAUAAAAGCGCCAACAAGAAGGCAGGAUUUACCGUCGCUUACACGGCACGAUUUCAAGGCCGGUGUCCGGCGCUAAGUGCCAGCCCCGCCGCCCCCUCACCUCGGGCCGGGCCCGCGCUCCCCUCUCCCCUUAGCGGCAGCAGGGCGAGGGGCUCCGGCC
Molecule: long non-coding RNA, 1300 nt
Filed under: Chloebia gouldiae (Gouldian finch)
Lineage: Eukaryota; Metazoa; Chordata; Aves; Passeriformes; Passeridae
Description: Erythrura gouldiae (Gouldian finch) lncRNA (ENSEGOG00005002131.1)
Source: RNAcentral